UACGGAGGGUGCAAGCGUUAUCCGGAUUUACUGGGUUUAAAGGGUGUGUAGGCGGGCUUUUAAGUCAGUGGUGAAAUCUCCGGGCUCAACCCGGAAACUGCCAUUGAUACUAUUAGUCUUGAAUUCUGUUGAGGUAGGCGGAAUAAGUCAUGUAGCGGUGAAAUGCUUAGAUAUGACUUAGAACACCAAUUGCGAAGGCAGCUUGCUAAACAGAUAUUGACGCUGAGGCACGAAAGCGUGGGGAUCAAACAGG
Molecule: ribosomal RNA, 253 nt
Filed under: uncultured bacterium
Lineage: Bacteria
Also listed under: 1 other name
Description: partial 16S ribosomal RNA
Rfam family: Bacterial small subunit ribosomal RNA
Source: RNAcentral